CCUACGGGAGGCAGCAGUGAGGAAUAUUGGUCAAUGGACGCGAGUCUGAACCAGCCAAGUCGCGUGAAGGAUGACUGUCCUAUGGGUUGUAAACUUCUUUUAUCUGGGAAUAAAACGUUCCACGUGUGGGGUUUUGUAUGUACCAUAUGAAUAAGGAUCGGCUAACUCCGUGCCAGCCGCCGCGGUAAUACGGAGGAUCCGAGCGUUAUCCGGAAUUAUUGGGUUUAAAGGGAGCGUAGGUGGAUUGGUAAGUCAGUUGUGAAAGUUUGCGGGUCAACCGUAAAAUUGCAGUUGAAACUGGCAGUCUUGAGUACAGUAGAGGUAGGCGGAAUGCGUGGUGUAGCGGUGAAAUGCUUAGAUAUCACGAAGAACUCCGAUUGCGAAGGCAGUUCACUGGACUGCAACUGACACUGAGGCUCGAAAGUGUGGGGAUCAAACAGGAUUAGAUACCCGAGUAGUC
Molecule: ribosomal RNA, 460 nt
Filed under: uncultured bacterium
Lineage: Bacteria
Description: partial 16S ribosomal RNA
Rfam family: Bacterial small subunit ribosomal RNA
Source: RNAcentral